AUGCAGGCGGAGCUGAAGACGAAAGAAAACCAAGUCAUCGAUCUUCAAGAAAACCUGAAAACCCAACAGGCUGAAACCUCCAAAGAAAAAGAGGAAUUGGCCAGUGCUUUAAGCGCCAUGGAACAACUUAAGGAGAACUUCAAGAAGAAACGGGCGGAUUGGGCCACUGAAAAGUCCGCUUUGAUCAAACGAGCAGAGGAUGCCGAGGCUGCACUAAAACCAGUGACGGAUGAACUGACCAGCAUAAAGCGGCACGUUCAUGCCAUGACCACUGCUAUCUUUGGGACACGCAUUGGUCACUUGGGGUCAGAUGUGCGGAAGAAAUUGAAAGCCGACAAUUGUAUACUGAUGCCCAGCGGAUCAUCUGUACCGCGUCUCAUAACAAACCGGCGCCCACUUUGA
Molecule: ribosomal RNA, 402 nt
Filed under: Triticum aestivum (bread wheat)
Lineage: Eukaryota; Viridiplantae; Streptophyta; Magnoliopsida; Poales; Poaceae
Description: partial small subunit ribosomal RNA
Source: RNAcentral